UCUGAUAUGGCAGAAUAGUGCCGUAGAUUUAAGAUCUACUCAAAAAGGUUUAAGCCCUUUUUUCAGAA
Molecule: transfer RNA, 68 nt
Filed under: Acasta sulcata
Lineage: Eukaryota; Metazoa; Arthropoda; Thecostraca; Balanomorpha; Balanidae
Description: tRNA-Leu
Rfam family: tRNA
About the family: Transfer RNA (tRNA) molecules are approximately 80 nucleotides in length.
Source: RNAcentral